RNAcentral lists this ribosomal RNA (1372 nucleotides) under uncultured bacterium. RNAcentral's name for it is "bacterial SSU rRNA". It matches the Rfam family "Bacterial small subunit ribosomal RNA", at positions 28 to 1381 of the family's 1533-position model. The record is from RNAcentral.
GAUGAACGCUUGCGGCGUGCCUAAUACAUGCAAGUCGAGCGAACGGACGAGAAGCUUGCUUCUCUGAUGUUAGCGGCGGACGGGUGAGUAACACGUGGAUAACCUACCUAUAAGACUGGGAUAACUUCGGGAAACCGGAGCUAAUACCGGAUAAUAUUUUGAACCGCAUGGUUCAAAAGUGAAAGACGGUCUUGCUGUCACUUAUAGAUGGAUCCGCGCUGCAUUAGCUAGUUGGUAAGGUAACGGCUUACCAAGGCAACGAUGCAUAGCCGACCUGAGAGGGUGAUCGGCCACACUGGAACUGAGACACGGUCCAGACUCCUACGGGAGGCAGCAGUAGGGAAUCUUCCGCAAUGGGCGAAAGCCUGACGGAGCAACGCCGCGUGAGUGAUGAAGGUCUUCGGAUCGUAAAACUCUGUUAUUAGGGAAGAACAUAUGUGUAAGUAACUGUGCACAUCUUGACGGUACCUAAUCAGAAAGCCACGGCUAACUACGUGCCAGCAGCCGCGGUAAUACGUAGGUGGCAAGCGUUAUCCGGAAUUAUUGGGCGUAAAGCGCGCGUAGGCGGUUUUUUAAGUCUGAUGUGAAAGCCCACGGCUCAACCGUGGAGGGUCAUUGGAAACUGGAAAACUUGAGUGCAGAAGAGGAAAGUGGAAUUCCAUGUGUAGCGGUGAAAUGCGCAGAGAUAUGGAGGAACACCAGUGGCGAAGGCGACUUUCUGGUCUGUAACUGACGCUGAUGUGCGAAAGCGUGGGGAUCAAACAGGAUUAGAUACCCUGGUAGUCCACGCCGUAAACGAUGAGUGCUAAGUGUUAGGGGGUUUCCGCCCCUUAGUGCUGCAGCUAACGCAUUAAGCACUCCGCCUGGGGAGUACGACCGCAAGGUUGAAACUCAAAGGAAUUGACGGGGACCCGCACAAGCGGUGGAGCAUGUGGUUUAAUUCGAAGCAACGCGAAGAACCUUACCAAAUCUUGACAUCCUUUGACAACUCUAGAGAUAGAGCCUUCCCCUUCGGGGGACAAAGUGACAGGUGGUGCAUGGUUGUCGUCAGCUCGUGUCGUGAGAUGUUGGGUUAAGUCCCGCAACGAGCGCAACCCUUAAGCUUAGUUGCCAUCAUUAAGUUGGGCACUCUAAGUUGACUGCCGGUGACAAACCGGAGGAAGGUGGGGAUGACGUCAAAUCAUCAUGCCCCUUAUGAUUUGGGCUACACACGUGCUACAAUGGACAAUACAAAGGGCAGCGAAACCGCGAGGUCAAGCAAAUCCCAUAAAGUUGUUCUCAGUUCGGAUUGUAGUCUGCAACUCGACUACAUGAAGCUGGAAUCGCUAGUAAUCGUAGAUCAGCAUGCUACGGUGAAUACGUUCCCGGGUCU